AGAGUUUGAUCCUGGCUGAGAACGAACGCUGGCGGCAGGCUUAACACAUGCAAGUCGAGCGCCCCGCAAGGGGAGCGGCAGACGGGUGAGUAACGCGUGGGAAUCUACCCUUUUCUACGGAAUAACGCAGGGAAACUUGUGCUAAUACCGUAUACGCCCUUCGGGGGAAAGAUUUAUCGGGAAAGGAUGAGCCCGCGUUGGAUUAGCUAGUCGGUGGGGUAAAGGCCUACCAAGGCGACGAUCCAUAGCUGGUCUGAGAGGAUGAUCAGCCACAUUGGGACUGAGACACGGCCCAAACUCCUACGGGAGGCAGCAGU
Molecule: ribosomal RNA, 317 nt
Filed under: bacterium TN159B
Lineage: Bacteria
Description: bacterial SSU rRNA
Rfam family: Bacterial small subunit ribosomal RNA
Source: RNAcentral